This 444-nucleotide long non-coding RNA is filed under the name Lathyrus oleraceus (garden pea). Its description in RNAcentral is "Pisum sativum (pea) long non-coding RNA (PSAT_LNC020350)". Lineage: Eukaryota; Viridiplantae; Streptophyta; Magnoliopsida; Fabales; Fabaceae. The record is from RNAcentral.
GAUCAAUUAUCAAUGAUCAAAAGAUUGUCAUCAACCAAGACUAACUAUAAGGGCAAAAUGGUCCACAUAAAAAAUGAUGAAAAUAAUAAUAAUAAUAAUAAUAAUAAUAAUAAUAAUAAUAUUAAUAAAAGUAUUGAUGGAAUUAUUUGAGGAAAAAAAAGAUUGACAAAAGAAAAAUAAAUAGGAAACAAAAAGAGAAAACCAAUUGAUUAAGUGAUGAAAAGUAUUAAAUAAAUAAACACAUAAAUUAAAAAAAGGAAGAAAAAAAAAAGAAAAUGUGGAGAAAGUGAAAAAUAAAGCAAAGUUUAUUGGAUCAAAACCAUUGAAUUUAGGGGAUCGAUCAAAUGUACGUUUCAUCUCCCAAAAUGAAUGAAUGGUAUUGAUCAGAUGAAAUUCCUAUCAUAAUCAAUUUUUGUUUCUAUUUCCCCUCCCUCCUCAUCUUCA